RNAcentral lists this ribosomal RNA (496 nucleotides) under uncultured bacterium. Its description in RNAcentral is "partial 16S ribosomal RNA". It matches the Rfam family "Bacterial small subunit ribosomal RNA", at positions 28 to 506 of the family's 1533-position model. The record is from RNAcentral.
GAUGAACGCUGGCGGCGUGCCUAAUACAUGCAAGUCGAGCGAACAGACGAGGAGCUUGCUCCUCUGACGUUAGCGGCGGACGGGUGAGUAACACGUGGAUAACCUACCUAUAAGACUGGGAUAACUUCGGGAAACCGGAGCUAAUACCGGAUAAUAUAUUGAACCGCAUGGUUCAAUAGUGAAAGACGGUUUUGCUGUCACUUAUAGAUGGAUCCGCGCCGCAUUAGCUAGUUGGUAAGGUAACGGCUUACCAAGGCAACGAUGCGUAGCCGACCUGAGAGAGGGAUCGGCCACACUGGAACUGAGACACGGUCCAGACUCCUACGGGAGGCAGCAGGAGGGAAUCUUCCGCAAUGGGCGAAAGCCUGACGGAGCAACGCCGCGUGAGUGAUGAAGGUCUUCGGAUCGUAAAACUCUGUUAUUAGGGAAGAACAAAUGUGUAAGUAACUAUGCACGUCUUGACGGUACCUAAGCAGAAAGCCACGGCUAACUACGU